AACAUCCUGGUUGUUUAUGACUUCCCACAUCGUUUUCCACUUAAUUAUGAUUUCGGGAAGUCAUAAACAACCAGGAUGUAAGCUUAGAAGCAGCCAUCAUUUAAAGAAAGCGUAAUAGCUCACUGGUCGAGUCAUCCUGCGCGGAAAAUGUAACGGGGCUAAAUUAUGUACCGAAGCUGCGGCAACAUAUUUCAUAUAUUGUUGGGUAGGGGAGCGUUCUGUAAGCCAAUGAAGGUAUAUUGUAAAGUAUACUGGAGGUAUCAGAAGUGCGAAUGCUGACAUAAGUAACGAAAAAGCGGGCAAAAAAACCCGCUCGCCUAAAAACUAAGGUUUCCUGUUCAACGGUAAUCGAAGCAGGGUAAGUCGGCUCCUAAGGCGAGGUCGAAAGGCGUAGUCGAUGGGUAACAGGUUAAUAUUCCUGUACUAGAUGUAACUGCGAAGGGGGUACAAGAUCGCUAAGUUCGCCAGGUGACGGUUAUCCUGCUUUUUCACCUACAUGCUUAAACCAGGAUAACCGUCACCUGGCGAACUUAGCUUUCUUCGUACCCCCUUCGCAGUUACAUCUAGUACAGGAAUAUUAACCUGUUACCCAUCGACUACGCCUUUCGACCUCGCCUUAGGAGCCGACUUACCCUGCUUCGAUUACCGUUGAACAGGAAACCUUAGUUUUUAGGCGAGCGGGUUUUU
Molecule: ribosomal RNA, 687 nt
Filed under: Candidatus Palibaumannia cicadellinicola
Lineage: Bacteria; Pseudomonadati; Pseudomonadota; Gammaproteobacteria
Description: bacterial LSU rRNA
Rfam family: Bacterial large subunit ribosomal RNA
Source: RNAcentral